RNAcentral lists this unclassified non-coding RNA (499 nucleotides) under uncultured Alphaproteobacteria bacterium. RNAcentral describes it as "partial 16S-23S ribosomal RNA intergenic spacer". The stretch from base 385 to 499 matches the Rfam family "Bacterial large subunit ribosomal RNA", at positions 1 to 115 of the family's 2925-position model. Lineage: Bacteria; Pseudomonadati; Pseudomonadota; Alphaproteobacteria. The record is from RNAcentral.
CCUCCUUUCUAAGGAAAGUGUAAGAUCAAUUGCCGCCGUCUUUGUAUCUCUUCUUCUCGAACAUAUAAUUUAUAGAUUUGCUACAGCUAGAGGCGCGUAGCUCAGUUGGUUAGAGCGCACGACUGAUAAUCGUGAGGUCGGCAGUUCAAAUCUGCCCGUGCCUACCAAUAUCUAUAAUAAUGUUAAUGUAUUUAUAAAUUUAAACAGUUUUGUCUUUGUUAGACAGUUUGUUUGAUAUAGUUGGUGAAGAUGAUUCCAAAUAAUAGGGUAAUAUUAAUUGAUAUUAUCCAGCUUACGGAUUGUAUUUUUAAAAUUUUUUCAAGAUUAAAUUUUAAAGAGUGGUAAUGGUUGUCUGACCGGUUACUACUUUCAUGUACGGUCCGAUCAAGCGUCUUGAAGAGCAUUUGGUGGAUGCCUUGGUACAGAGAGGCGAUGAAGGACGUGACACGCUGCGAUAAGCUGUGGGGAGCCGUGAGUAGGCUUUGAUCCGCAGAUUUCC